CACAGACAUCCCAUGUACAUGCUCAGAUCUCUAACUUAAUGUCCUUCUCUAGAGCCCACGGGGGAGAAUAGGGUUAGUCUGUGAGCCUCAGACUCACAGGCGGUUGGGUGCCUUAUUCCAGUCACAGUGAUCACGUACCAGGACCUGGCUUGGCAGACCAGCUGACCUGUGCUGAUGCCACAAACUCCUGGAGUUGCCCCAACAAGGGCCAGCAUGUCAGGUACGGCCCAGAUCAUGGCAGGGCCUUCACCCCAGGCAGCCAGGCUGCCCCUGUAUCCCAGCAUUCCAUAGGCAUCGCAGGGGGCAGGGGGAGGGAGGCAACAGCUGCUGUGCCUACUGUUUCCACUUGGCACAGAAAACCUGCCUUUGCUUUCUGGAGGGCAAGUGCUUUCUACUCAAACGAUGGGACACCACAGAAAACCCAUAUGGAGAUUUUACUUAUUCAAAAUGUAGAACCUGUAAGUUAGAAAUCCUGUGUGGGGCUGGGAUGUGGCUUAGUGAUGGAAGACAGAUCAAAACUACGUGGACUCCAAGCAUGCCUACAAUCCCAGCACUCAGGAAGCCGAGUAUUGUCACGAGUUCCAGACCAGCCUGGACCACAAAGAUCCUGUCUCAAAAAAACCUGAACUUAAAGUAAACAAACUGAGAGCCCGGAUUGCCACAACGUUGGCAUCCAUGUUGAAUUUGCCCAAAUCAGUAGGAACAGACACAACACUAAGGUGGACAACAGAGGUGAAGAGGCACUGACAGAAACACCCUCCAGUAGGAGACCCCAAAGGCACAGCUCUCAGAGAAAGCCUCAGUCCAAAAGCCCAACACUAAAAAUGCCAUCUCUGAACAUUCGUCAAGAGCAAAACUAGAGCUGUGUCUCUAGCACAGAGACCCAGGCCUUGCCUGGCAUGCAGGGCCUGGCUACAGUUCCCAGAGUGGCAACAAAAAACUAACGAGAGGGACAGUGCCACUGUUUGUGGGCUUGAGCAUAUGCCUGCAGUGCCACAGGAUGUAUGUCAGCAGAGCGUACUGUGGGGUCCCACAGGCAAUCUCAGGGUGCUGAGAGACUCUGGCUUGUCAGGUCAGUACGGUUUACAGAGAGAACAUUGCAUGGUGGGGGGCACUGUAUAUGGAGCAGAGGGAGACAAGUUCUCACCUGGGACAAACAGCUGGUCAGUGAUUGUUCCCAAGCCUGUGUCUUUUUAUCCUUUGAAUGUUGAGCCAUGUAAAUGUAUUAUUUAUUUCAAAACUAAAUAAAAUUUACAUGUAGAAACUCAAUUCUCUUCAAUUUGCAGUUUUAACAGUACUUGAGUCAAAUAUCACAAAAUCAACACCAAAAGCAUUUUAAAAAUCCCUUUCACAAACUAGAAGUACUUACACCAUGGUGAGCUAGCAUUGGUGUGCUGCCUGCCUGCGUGUGUGUCUCUGUGAGUGUGCCAAGUCCUUUGGAACUGGACUUAAACAGUUGUGAGCUGCCAUGAGCGUGCUGGGAGUUGAACACGGGUCCUUGGAAGAGCAGCCAGUACUCUUUUUUUUUUUUUAUAAAUUUAUUUUUUUUAAGAUUUUAUUUUAUUGUAUGAGUACACUGUAGCUGCCUUCAGACACACCAGAAGAGGGCAUCAGAUCUCAUUACAGAUGGUUGUGAGCCACCAUGUGGUUGCUGGGAUUUGA
RNAcentral lists this long non-coding RNA (1662 nucleotides) under Rattus norvegicus (Norway rat). Its description in RNAcentral is "long non-coding RNA NONRATT025367". Lineage: Eukaryota; Metazoa; Chordata; Mammalia; Rodentia; Muridae. The record is from RNAcentral.